Molecule: ribosomal RNA, 425 nt
Filed under: uncultured bacterium
Lineage: Bacteria
Description: partial 16S ribosomal RNA
Rfam family: Bacterial small subunit ribosomal RNA
Source: RNAcentral
GUAUGGAAUCUUGCGCAAUGGGCGAAAGCCUGACGCAGCCAUGCCGCGUGAAUGAUGAAGGUCUUAGGAUUGUAAAAUUCUUUCACCGGGGACGAUAAUGACGGUACCCGGAGAAGAAGCUCCGGCUAACUUCGUGCCAGCAGCCGCGGUAAUACGAAGGGGGCUAGCGUUGCUCGGAAUUACUGGGCGUAAAGGGCGCGUAGGCGGAUAUUUAAGUCGGGGGUGAAAGCCCGGGGCUCAACCUCGGAAUAGCCUUCGAUACUGGAUAUCUUGAGUACGGGAGAGGUGUGUGGAACUCAGAGUGUAGAGGUGAAAUUCGUAGAUAUUCGGAAGAACACCAGUGGCGAAGGCGACUCACUGGCCCAAUACUGACGCUGAGGCGCGAAAGCGUGGGGAGCAAACAGGAUUAGAUACCCUUGUAGUCC